Maniola jurtina (meadow brown) is the source of this 192-nucleotide long non-coding RNA. RefSeq lists it as uncharacterized. The transcript is spliced from 4 exons. Lineage: Eukaryota; Metazoa; Arthropoda; Insecta; Lepidoptera; Nymphalidae. The record is from RefSeq and is a predicted model, not a curated record.
CCCAGUCGCGAGCCUAUUAUAGUUUAAAUUGGUAGCGUGCACUGAAAAGAGUCUUUCAAUGUAAAAUUCAUGUUCUGUCCUUUUUUAGCAAUAUUAAAAGGAGAAGGAUGCAGAUACUCUAAAUUUAGCUUAGCGAAAAACAACAGAAUCGGUGCCAUUGACGCUGAUUCUGUUAAACAAAACUUACUAGAA